CGACGGCCAUGCGGAAGCCACACAAGAGCGAUCCAAUGUCUCAUCUCCGCCCUCAAUCAUGGCCUCCGCUGAUGCCAAAGUAAACCCAUUCAGCUUCAGGAGGCUUUUCAGCAAACAAAGCAUAAUUUGUACGACGGAUCUGUGUGUUACAGUAGAGGAUCACGGGCAUUUGAAAUGACACAACUGGAAGCUAAAUCCAACAGCAGGGGAGACCCUUACCAAGGCGAGGUAAGUGGGCUACCCUCGGCCUCCCUUUCCCUGCUGUUGUUUUGGUAGCUGGACAGGGCUAGGGACAGGAAUAUCCUUUCCUUCUGUGGACGG
This 321-nucleotide long non-coding RNA is filed under the name Homo sapiens (human). RNAcentral's name for it is "non-protein coding lnc-LYRM4-3:2". The record is from RNAcentral. Lineage: Eukaryota; Metazoa; Chordata; Mammalia; Primates; Hominidae.